Molecule: ribosomal RNA, 2017 nt
Filed under: Shigella sonnei
Lineage: Bacteria; Pseudomonadati; Pseudomonadota; Gammaproteobacteria; Enterobacterales; Enterobacteriaceae
Description: partial 23S ribosomal RNA
Rfam family: Bacterial large subunit ribosomal RNA
Source: RNAcentral
ACCCGAUGCAAACUGCGAAUACCGGAGAAUGUUAUCACGGGAGACACACGGCGGGUGCUAACGUCCGUCGUGAAGAGGGAAACAACCCAGACCGCCAGCUAAGGUCCCAAAGUCAUGGUUAAGUGGGAAACGAUGUGGGAAGGCCCAGACAGCCAGGAUGUUGGCUUAGAAGCAGCCAUCAUUUAAAGAAAGCGUAAUAGCUCACUGGUCGAGUCGGCCUGCGCGGAAGAUGUAACGGGGCUAAACCAUGCACCGAAGCUGCGGCAGCGAUGCUUAUGCGUUGUUGGGUAGGGGAGCGUUCUGUAAGCCUGCGAAGGUGUGCUGUGAGGCAUGCUGGAGGUAUCAGAAGUGCGAAUGCUGACAUAAGUAACGAUAAAGCGGGUGAAAAGCCCGCUCGCCGGAAGACCAAGGGUUCCUGUCCAACGUUAAUCGGGGCAGGGUGAGUCGACCCCUAAGGCGAGGCCGAAAGGCGUAGUCGAUGGGAAACAGGUUAAUAUUCCUGUACUUGGUGUUACUGCGAAGGGGGGACGGAGAAGGCUAUGUUGGCCGGGCGACGGUUGUCCCGGUUUAAGCGUGUAGGCUGGUUUUCCAGGCAAAUCCGGAAAAUCAAGGCUGAGGCGUGAUGACGAGGCACUACGGUGCUGAAGCAACAAAUGCCCUGCUUCCAGGAAAAGCCUCUAAGCAUCAGGUAACAUCAAAUCGUACCCCAAACCGACACAGGUGGUCAGGUAGAGAAUACCAAGGCGCUUGAGAGAACUCGGGUGAAGGAACUAGGCAAAAUGGUGCCGUAACUUCGGGAGAAGGCACGCUGAUAUGUAGGUGAAGUCCCUUGCGGAUGGAGCUGAAAUCAGUCGAAGAUACCAGCUGGCUGCAACUGUUUAUUAAAAACACAGCACUGUGCAAACACGAAAGUGGACGUAUACGGUGUGACGCCUGCCCGGUGCCGGAAGGUUAAUUGAUGGGGUCAGCGCAAGCGAAGCUCUUGAUCGAAGCCCCGGUAAACGGCGGCCGUAACUAUAACGGUCCUAAGGUAGCGAAAUUCCUUGUCGGGUAAGUUCCGACCUGCACGAAUGGCGUAAUGAUGGCCAGGCUGUCUCCACCCGAGACUCAGUGAAAUUGAACUCGCUGUGAAGAUGCAGUGUACCCGCGGCAAGACGGAAAGACCCCGUGAACCUUUACUAUAGCUUGACACUGAACAUUGAGCCUUGAUGUGUAGGAUAGGUGGGAGGCUUUGAAGUGUGGACGCCAGUCUGCAUGGAGCCGGCCUUGAAAUACCACCCUUUAAUGUUUGAUGUUCUAACGUGGACCCGUGAUCCGGGUUGCGGACAGUGUCUGGUGGGUAGUUUGACUGGGGCGGUCUCCUCCUAAAGAGUAACGGAGGAGCACGAAGGUUGGCUAAUCCUGGUCGGACAUCAGGAGGUUAGUGCAAUGGCAUAAGCCAGCUUGACUGCGAGCGUGACGGCGCGAGCAGGUGCGAAAGCAGGUCAUAGUGAUCCGGUGGUUCUGAAUGGAAGGGCCAUCGCUCAACGGAUAAAAGGUACUCCGGGGAUAACAGGCUGAUACCGCCCAAGAGUUCAUAUCGACGGCGGUGUUUGGCACCUCGAUGUCGGCUCAUCACAUCCUGGGGCUGAAGUAGGUCCCAAGGGUAUGGCUGUUCGCCAUUUAAAGUGGUACGCGAGCUGGGUUUAGAACGUCGUGAGACAGUUCGGUCCCUAUCUGCCGUGGGCGCUGGAGAACUGAGGGGGGCUGCUCCUAGUACGAGAGGACCGGAGUGGACGCAUCACUGGUGUUCGGGUUGUCAUGCCAAUGGCACUGCCCGGUAGCUAAAUGCGGAAGAGAUAAGUGCUGAAAGCAUCUAAGCACGAAACUUGCCCCGAGAUGAGUUCUCCCUGACCCUUUAAGGGUCCUGAAGGAACGUUGAAGACGACGACGUUGAUAGGCCGGGUGUGUAAGCGCAGCGAUGCGUUGAGCUAACCGGUACUAAUGAACCGUGAGGCUUAACCUUACAACGCCGAAG